This is a long non-coding RNA of Scophthalmus maximus (turbot), 1849 nucleotides long. RefSeq lists it as uncharacterized. NCBI's taxonomy places the organism in Eukaryota, Metazoa, Chordata, Actinopteri, Pleuronectiformes, Scophthalmidae. The record is from RefSeq and is a predicted model, not a curated record. The transcript is spliced from 2 exons.
AGCUUGUGCUAUGGCGGACAGAAGUUGUGUCCCCAAAUGGGAAAAGGCAGAUUUCGGGGUCAGUGGUUAGAGUAGGUCACUGAUCAACAGGUGUGAGCUGGAGUCAGCAGUGACAACAAAGACAUGAGGACCAAAAUAUGACUUCAGUGUUCUACUAGAAUCAACGACGGCUCAUCUGCCCCCCACAUUUUUCAGCACAGUCACAGUCGGCAUUAAAGGACCUCGCAAUAUCGCUACGGCAACAACGCAGCGGAAGCAACCGCACUGGAUCAUGGGAAACUGGGUCACCUCCCAGGAGCGGGAGGGUGCGGAGGGGGUGCAGCGGAGGGAGGUCGCUGUCUGACACGUGUGCACGCCCACACACACACACACACACACACACACCUGAUAGUUGUCCUACAAAGCAGGAGGACGAGAAAGAAAAAGAAUAGUUGAAAAUGAGAUAAUAGGUAAGAUCGCUGAUCCAGAUACAGUAAAAGACACCAAAAAACACGUAAUGUUUACGCUUCAUGGUUGAAUAGACACACAUGCAGAUAUACCUUCUUAUACAGAUUUUCCUCAUUCCUGGAGAGAGAGCACACACUGCUCCGUUCAUCUCGCUGCCAUGCUAGUCAUGCAAUGUUAACUUAAUUUGGCAGCACAACAAUAAACAUGAGCAAACUAGACAAUGAAAGCCUUUCCUAAUACUCUAAAAGCUUUGUUCACUUGUGCUUCUUAUAUAUAGAUUACUGUAUGUAUUACACGUGUUCUAGGGCAUGCGACCGCUGUCUUAUAUAAGCUUAGAAAAACUAAAAUUCAAACAUCUGGAAGAUGUAGGAUGACAAUCUGUUCACAGAAAGUAUCCUCUUGGUUAGGUAUUUACUUCAUACUCAUUUCAUUGACUAGGUAUUUUAAUUAGAGGAAAAAUAACAGAAAUGUGCUUAAAGUUAAUGAAUGAUGAAACAAUCCAAAUGAGAAAAUGCACAAGGAGAAAUCACGAGUAGUAACACUGAGUAGAAUAAAACUGAAACAAAACAGAACAGAUGAACACACACACACGGAGGACUGGGAGCACAGAGACUAAAUACAAAAGAAGACAGGGAUAAUUUAACAUCGGUGAAACACAUUAGGGACGGGUGCAGACAAUCACAGGGACGGGAGACACAGGAACAAUAUUAAGUCACAGAAAACAAUAAGACACAGGUGGAAAGUAAGUGAAGAGACACAAGGGAAGUGACACAAGGGAGAAAAAAAGGGGUUACUUUGGUAAUUUGUUGGAAAAAAUCUGCACAUUUGUUUAGACUGAUAACAUAACAUUGUAAAUGACCAGUUUCCAUUCACUCUCUGUUCUGAAAAAUGCUUCCAAGGCAACUCUGACAUAUGAAAAUCAAAGAUUUCAUGGCAACUAUUUACCAUGUACCAACAAAUAACCUUUUACGGUUUGAUAAUGAUUUGCAAAUGUUUGCACUCCUGUAAACACAUCAGAAGAAAGGUUUUUCUAUUAACUUCAGAAUUAUGCUGGUGGAUCAACACUGGCUGAUUUGGAUGUGAAGUAUACGUGAUUUGUGAUUAAUAAGAUAAAACUUGCAUCUGACUGCUACUUAAAAUAUGCCUCCGCUGCCCGUCAUGAAACAAGAUGAUUAAUGAUUCCAUGAUGAGCAGAUUUCACUGACUGCAUAAGUGGAAGCAGCAAUUUCAAGAGUGAGCUGGGCCACUUUAUUGAUAAUGACCAAUCUGCCUCCUACCAGCCUCCCAACAAUGAAAAAUAAAAACCUAGAAGCAGAAACUAAGUGAUAUUCAUAUUUUGGUGCAAAUCCACAAUUACACUGUAGAUGAGUCACUGCAAAAAUAAAGCAAACACUGGAACUGU